Molecule: ribosomal RNA, 848 nt
Filed under: Halomonas sp. E6_(IO)_54.4mbsf
Lineage: Bacteria; Pseudomonadati; Pseudomonadota; Gammaproteobacteria; Oceanospirillales; Halomonadaceae
Description: bacterial SSU rRNA
Rfam family: Bacterial small subunit ribosomal RNA
Source: RNAcentral
UGCAGUCGAGCGGUAGCAGGUCCUUCGGGAUGCUGACGAGCGGCGGACGGGNGAGUAAUGCAUAGGAAUCUGCCCGGUAGUGGGGGAUAACCUGGGGAAACCCAGGCUAAUACCGCAUACGUCCUACGGGAGAAAGGGGGCUUCGGCUCCCGCUAUUGGAUGAGCCUAUGUCGGAUUAGCUAGUUGGUGAGGUAAUGGCUUACCAAGGCAACGAUCCGUAGCUGGUCUGAGAGGAUGAUCAGCCACAUCGGGACUGAGACACGGCCCGAACUCCUACGGGAGGCAGCAGUGGGGAAUAUUGGACAAUGGGGGCAACCCUGAUCCAGCCAUGCCGCGUGUGUGAAGAAGGCCUUCGGGUUGUAAAGCACUUUCAGCGAGGAAGAACGCCUAGCGGUUAAUACCCGCUAGGAAAGACAUCACUCGCAGAAGAAGCACCGGCUAACUCCGUGCCAGCAGCCGCGGUAAUACGGAGGGUGCAAGCGUUAAUCGGAAUUACUGGGCGUAAAGCGCGCGUAGGUGGCUUGAUAAGCCGGUUGUGAAAGCCCCGGGCUCAACCUGGGAACGGCAUCCGGAACUGUCAGGCUAGAGUGCAGGAGAGGAAGGUAGAAUUCCCGGUGUAGCGGUGAAAUGCGUAGAGAUCGGGAGGAAUACCAGUGGCGAAGGCGGCCUUCUGGACUGACACUGACACUGAGGUGCGAAAGCGUGGGUAGCAAACAGGAUUAGNNNNCCUGGUAGUCCACGCCGUAAACGAUGUCGACCAGCCGUUGGGUGCCUAGCGCACUUUGUGGCGAAGUUAACGCGAUAAGUCGACCGCCUGGGGAGUACGGCCGCNAGGUUAAAACUCAAAU